RNAcentral lists this transfer RNA (69 nucleotides) under Ictidomys tridecemlineatus (thirteen-lined ground squirrel). RNAcentral describes it as "Spermophilus tridecemlineatus (thirteen-lined ground squirrel) tRNA". It matches the Rfam family "tRNA". From Rfam's summary of the family: Transfer RNA (tRNA) molecules are approximately 80 nucleotides in length. Their secondary structure includes four short double-helical elements and three loops (D, anti-codon, and T loops). The record is from Rfam by way of RNAcentral. Lineage: Eukaryota; Metazoa; Chordata; Mammalia; Rodentia; Sciuridae.
GGGAUUAUGGCUCAGUGGUAGAGCGCUUGCCUAGCAUGUGUGAGGCCCUGGGUUCGAUUCUCAGCACCA